UAGACGCUCAACGUCUGCACUGCAGCGCGAACUGGUUUCCUUGAGUACGCACAAAGUGGGCGGAAUUCGUGGUGUAGCGGUGAAAUGCUUAGAUAUCACGAAGAACUCCGAUUGCGAAGGCAGCUCACUGGAGCGCAACUGACGCUGAAGCUCGAAAGUGCGGGUAUCGAACAGGAUUAGAUACCCUGGUAGUCCGCACGGUAAACGAUGGAUGCCCGCUGUUGGUCUGAAUAGGUCAGCGGCCAAGCGAAAGCAUUAAGCAUCCCACCUGGGGAGUACGCCGGCAACGGUGCAACUCAAAGGAAUUGACGG
RNAcentral lists this ribosomal RNA (312 nucleotides) under uncultured Bacteroidota bacterium. RNAcentral describes it as "bacterial SSU rRNA". It matches the Rfam family "Bacterial small subunit ribosomal RNA", at positions 602 to 916 of the family's 1533-position model. Lineage: Bacteria; Pseudomonadati; Bacteroidota. The record is from RNAcentral.